This 492-nucleotide ribosomal RNA is filed under the name uncultured bacterium. Its description in RNAcentral is "partial 16S ribosomal RNA". It matches the Rfam family "Bacterial small subunit ribosomal RNA", at positions 29 to 507 of the family's 1533-position model. The record is from RNAcentral.
AGUGAACGCUGGCGGUAGGCCUAACACAUGCAAGUCGAACGGCAGCACAGUAAGAGCUUGCUCUUACGGGUGGCGAGUGGCGGACGGGUGAGGAAUACAUCGGAAUCUACUUUUUCGUGGGGGAUAACGUAGGGAAACUUACGCUAAUACCGCAUACGACCUACGGGUGAAGGCAGGGGAUCUUCGGACCUUGCGCGAUUGAAUGAGCCGAUGUCGGAUUAGCUAGUUGGCGGGGUAAAGGCCCACCAAGGCGACGAUCCGUAGCUGGUCUGAGAGGAUGAUCAGCCACACGGGAACUGAGCCACGGUCCAGACUCCUACGGGAGGCAGCAGUGGGGAAUAUUGGACAAUGGGCGCAAGCCUGAUCCAGCCAUACCGCGUGGGUGAAGAAGGCCUUCGGGUUGUAAAGCCCUUUUGUUGGGAAAGAAAAGCAGCAGGUUAAUACCCCGCUGUUCUGACGGUACCCAAAGAAUAAGCACCGGCUAACUUCGUG